GACGAACGCUGGCGGCGUACUUAACACAUGCAAGUCGAGCGGUAAGGCCCUUUCGGGGGUACACGAGCGGCGAACGGGUGAGUAACACGUGGGUGACCUGCCCUCAGCUCUGGGAUAAGCCUGGGAAACCGGGUCUAAUACUGGAUAUGACUCCAUGACGCAUGUUGUGGGGUGGAAAGCCUUGUGCGGCUGAGGAUGGGCCCGCGGCCUAUCAGCUUGUUGGUGGGGUGAUGGCCUACCAAGGCGACGACGGGUAGCCGGCCUGGGAGGGCGACCGGCCACACUGGGACUGAGGCACGGCCCAGACUCCUACGGGAGGCAGCAGUGGGGAAUCUUGCGCAAUGGGCGAAAGCCUGACGCAGCGACGCCGCGUGAGGGAUGACGGCCUG
This 389-nucleotide ribosomal RNA is filed under the name uncultured bacterium. RNAcentral's name for it is "bacterial SSU rRNA". It matches the Rfam family "Bacterial small subunit ribosomal RNA", at positions 28 to 418 of the family's 1533-position model. The record is from RNAcentral.